ACGAAGUCUCAUCUUAACCGGAUGUGACGUAAAGUCAGCCUGUAUAAAUACGGCGAUCGACGCUGUAACGUUCUCUUGUCAUUGGUGCCAUCUUAGGAAGGCUCUUCUUCUCAAGAUGCGAGCCAAGUGGAGGAAGAAGCGGAUGCGCAGGCUGAAGCGUAAAAGGCGAAAGAUGAGGCAGAGGUCUAAGUAAACGUCUCCUCCAUUGCUGCUUACAAGACCUGCAAGCUAAACACAGCCGUCCAGAGAAGGAUGAAUCUUCAGCCUCUGAUCUUCUAGAUGCCUUCCAUCUUGGCCCAGUUGGCUGUCUGCAGGGAUGAGAGCUCCCUUCUGGAUUCCGCAAUGCUGUAGAAGCCGAACAGCCCAUGAUGUCUUGGACUGGCAUGCCAGUGCUCUCUGCUCUUAGGAGUUGGACUUGUUAGUUUUAUGGUCUUGUGCAGCAAGUGUAAUAAAUGUUUUUGGUUAAACCAA
Molecule: long non-coding RNA, 471 nt
Organism: Bufo gargarizans (Asiatic toad)
Lineage: Eukaryota; Metazoa; Chordata; Amphibia; Anura; Bufonidae
Exons: 4
Source: RefSeq, a predicted model, not a curated record